RNAcentral lists this long non-coding RNA (898 nucleotides) under Homo sapiens (human). RNAcentral's name for it is "HSALNT0368903". Lineage: Eukaryota; Metazoa; Chordata; Mammalia; Primates; Hominidae. The record is from RNAcentral.
UCCUUCCAUAGAAUCUUACUCAUUGUUGAUUUCUUCUCUUAAGCCGGAGCUCGGCUUCAGGAGUACUUUUCAAAAUAUCAUGUAUUUUGCUAACUCUAUAUAACUCCAUGUGUCAUUUCAUCCAGAAAACUUGUUUCUAAUGCUUUUUUCUCUGGACUCUAAGCUGGUUGAUGCCACCAGGCCUUGGGAAAAAGCCUGCCUUCUGAUAGGAUUGCUAUUGAGUAGCAAAAAUUCUUGGAUUCUGAUAACAUCUUUCAUGCAGAAACUCAAAGCAUCUCCCAAAUUAUAAGCCCAUUCUUUUACACUGUUCUACACUCUCACACUCUAGGAACAACUCAUUUCAAUCUUGGGACAUUGACCAGAAUUCAGGGAAACUAGCAUGAUCCUUCCAGUCUGACGUUUCAUUCCAUCUACUGUCCAAAGCUGUGUCUACAAGGCAUCACCUAUGAGACAAUAAAACAAACCCUCUGAAAUCAGGAAAUUUGCCAGAAGAUGGCGAGCUGGGAAGAAAUAAAACCAGGAUUUGAGCCAGAGACAGGGUUUCUCUAUGUUGCCCAGGCUUGUGUUGAACUCCUGGCCUCAAGUGAUCUUCCCACCUCAGCUUCUCAAAGUGCUGGAAUUACAGGCAUAAGCCACCAUGCCUGGCUGCAUGAAAUCUUCUGAGGCAGUAUUCAGGGAGUAGACAAGAGUGAAGCAGCCCCGACAGGGAGUUAACCUCCUAAUUGGGAAAAUAGAGCAGAGAGAUUCAUGCUGCUGAAGAAGCACUGUGACUAUGCACCUUCACUCCUCCAACUCAAAAAGAAGAAGAAGAAAAAAAGCCCGAGGAAAAUGAACACCACUGGCUAGUUAGGAGUAUUUUGAGAAUUCACUUUAAAGUGCUGAGAAAGCACUGUUAUAC